Alligator mississippiensis (American alligator) is the source of this 4087-nucleotide long non-coding RNA. RefSeq lists it as uncharacterized. The transcript is spliced from 3 exons. The record is from RefSeq and is a predicted model, not a curated record. Lineage: Eukaryota; Metazoa; Chordata; Crocodylia; Alligatoridae.
UCGUGCGGGGGAAAGAUCUUUAUUACUCACGGUCUCCGCCUCUUCUCUUCUCCGCCCCUGCACUGCUGCCUCGGCGCCAUCUUUAGGUGCUGUCAGAACCCAUUGUUCAUAUGCCUAUAGUGCAGUGGAGAAGUCUGUACCUAGAAAAAGUUCCCGCCAAAUUGCAGCUUCUUUGCACAGUGGAGUUUUCUGCUGCAGAGGAGAACCCCGGGUGCAGAAGAGUUCCCGCCAAUUCGUAGCUUUUUUGCAGGGUGCAUUUCUGAGCUGCAGAGAGGAAAUGCACAUUGCAGGCAGUUCCCGCCAUUUGUAUUUAAAUUUGAGUCCUGCAAUUGGCCAGUUCUAAAUUAUUCACACGUAGCGGCCAGUGAUUGGCUUGCUAGCCGUAUAAGAGGUUGAAGCAGUUUCCGCCCAAGUUGGAGAACUCCACACACACCUCGUGGAGAGCUCUGAGCACGCUGUGGAGCCUAGCAAACUCCGUGUGUGUCUUAGAGCGAACUUAGCGGCCUGAUCAACCACUAAGGACUCCCUGUCACCGACCCAAGGGGGCCUAGCACACCCCCAUCCGAGACGUAAGACGACUGCCGGCCCGAACACCCCGAACUCCCCGACACAUUUGCAGACCGACCAAAGAAACUCUGUAAUUUCUGACUGACUCCUGUACCCGUUUGCAACUGUAAUCGAAGCAAGCUUCUGACCUGCACUGUACGAGCAGUGUAAGUAAAGCAAUCUAUUUUAUUAAAUCAAUACGCUUGAGUACCUGAUUCCACUCCAAGCAUCACAAGUACCCGCCCGCCGACUAGGGCUCCUAAAGCCCCGAACCCCGCACCACGGCUCUCGGCGGCGACAGGUGCAGUCACGGCAUGGUCGGCGGCCAUCUUCAUGAGCGUCUGUAUCAAAUUCGCUUGAUUCGUGGCGUGUCUCAUUAGCGUGGAAAACGAGCGAAACAAGAUAUUAAGCAUUUUUUCUUUGUCCCACUUUUGUCCGCCCCACUUAGAGGAAUUUUUACCCUCCUCUUCUAGGUUCUCCCUCCAGGUAGUCAAUAUUUCAUUUUCGGCCCCUCCCGGAAUAAUAGCCGGACAAUAAAACUUGUCAGGGGGGGUAUCACAGCCUCCUCCUGUCUUGAGGUGUUGUAUGCACCAGGCAAAUUCUUUUUCGGGGGCGCGGUCAAUGCCCCCACCCAUCGGUUUGAUCCGACUAAGUUUGACCUCCGCCACUACGUCGGGGGGGCCGGUACAGGACAGAGGGGCAUGACAGGAGGCAGCCAAGCGCAGCGGGACUGAGCCCGGACACCACCCAUUCCUUAGCUGCCCCGGGCUGGUAUGUGAGCGUGUCGGUCGGCUGGAUGGACAAAUAGCCCCCUAACUUUCCAUUUUGUGCGACCCGGUGGUAGGCAAUGUGGGCCCAAAGGCCGUCCGCAUCAGUGGGCGGAGGCCGCUGAUGGUUCACCCCCGAGCAGUACUUUACUAAGGGGUCUGCAUGUGUUUUCCCUUCUCGUCUCAGAGGGGUCGCCCUGGGUUUUGGAUAUCGAUGGGCGUUGGCGAGACUGAGAUAGAAUUGGCCAGAUUCCACCCUGUUCGCUUAGUCUUGGACUCUGGAAAGAUUUCUUCUGGAUUCUUUGGUUGUUUUAUAAGACUGCCACAAUUUUUAGUGUCCCCGUGAACCAAUUGGCUUCCAUUAUUCUGUUCGUUAUAUGGUGGUCCCCCCCCCCCAGGUUUGAGUCUCCCCCCGGGUUUGAGGGAGCGCCCAACAUUUACGGCAAUAGUGUGACAAUAUCCGCAAUGGCUGCGGCUGCUAUCUGUGAGUUAGUACAUGGUGGCUGCUUAUCUGUAAAUUAGUACAGUCAGUGCUUUCCCAAAAUGACAGCUGGUCACUCGGGAGCAAGCAGCAAAUAUUAUACAAGAAUUUUCUUUUUGUUGUUAAAACCACUGCAGCGUACUUUCUUUUCUUCCCAGUGCUGGAAAAGGGACGAGAUGCAUUCUCGUAGCCUUCUCCUUUCACCUCUAUACCUAGGGGGAUAAGCACCGCUAUAGAUUUCCAGAUCUUUUGGCUUUGGGGAGCGUUAGGGCCCCCACCUGUAAUAUUUUGGGCACGUGACCUCCCUAUAUCUCAGGGGACAGGUCUUAUGCCCUCUCGUUUUUUGUUUCUUUUGGCUGCUUGGUACCUUGCACGCGUGAUUACUGCUCGUCUUCUUGAGGGCAGGCACUGUGUUCCCCACCCGAGGCCCUGGAGACGAGUGCCCUGGCACUUGGCUAGCUGUUCUUUUGCGCCCCUGGCCUGCAGCCUGUAAGCAGGGCCCAGAUCCCCUUGAUUCUCCGGGGCGGGUCUCGUUGCACUUGAUGACAUUGGCCAGAGACGAUACCCACAGACUACUGGGAAGGCUGCAGGCUUCUGGAGGAUAUUGAGUGCACUGGGACCCCGAGGCUUAGUGACCUUCCUAUAACUCAGGUCCAGGUCUCCGCUCCUCUGUUCUGCUGCUCCUGGCACUAUGAGAUGCGCCCCUGCACCCUGUAAACAGGGCUGCAACCCUACCCCUCUGACCUUGGGGGAGGAGGGCUCCUUUAGCCCUUUGGGCUCUGGCUUCCGUGGUAGGAGACUGAUAUCGUGGCCCUUAUGUCCCCAGAAUGGGGCAGCUUUAAAGUGUGAACGAGACUGCCUGGGGGACUUGUCAGCUGGCAUUUGGGUUUUGUCUGGGCUUCAUGCCCCACCAGCCAGCUGUGUGCAGGGAGCACCGCCCUGUCAGCAGGGUUUCCGGUGUUUGUGGGCACCGUUCAUGGUGCCGCCCUAGCAGUUCUGUCCAGAAUCCCGGCCCAUCACACUCUGCUUCUGGCUGGCCCAGAUGUCAGCAGCCGAGCCCACAGAUGUCCGCCCUCCCCGCUUUCCAUGGACAGAGGACAGAGUAGCCACAGAUCCAGGUAAGGGUAAAAGAGGGAGAGAAGUUGGGGCCUGCAGACCCAUUUUCCGUGGCGCUGACUUGCAUCAUGUUUCUGUCUUGUUAUUUCUCUCCCCAGAAGGAGAAGCAGAGAAGAUGACAGACAAAUAGGAGUUAACGGAUAACCAGGGCAGAAAUCCAUGCAAGGCAACCAGGAGGCAAAGGUCAUGCAGAAGACAGGAGAUGAGCAACCCAAGGAAGGAAGAAACCCUUGCCUGCCCAGCAGGAGGGAAAGGUCCCUGAAGAGCAGCUGGAGAGGAAGGAAUGGAAGCCGGAGAAGACAGCCCGGGAACAAGAAGUGUGGGUCGGGGUGGGCAGGAGGAAGGGGAAUGUUUAAUGUCUGCUUAGAUAGGUACAGAUGGAGGCUGUUGAGUGCCUCUCUACACUUUCACACACCCUUUAGGAGCAAGCAGCCGCAGGCUUCAAGUUGCACCGUGCACUCGGUCUUGGGUUGGCCCCGAUUGUGUGCAGGGCGGUUGAGUCUUUGUACUAGUUGCGUGUCUUGAUAUGGAGCAGUCAAGGGUUUUGCAGGUUGUUUGGCUUUGCUAGUUAUGCAGUGGAUCGGAAUAGAUGUGCGAUCAAGGGCGAAGGGUUUUCUCGGUUGGGUUGUUGAGCGGUUCUCGGUGUUAGCGUAGAAGUGCAGGUUUGUGCUCGGUUCUGUUUGUGGCUUGGCUGUAGCUUGCUUAGGCUGUAGGUUGCGGGGCCAACUGGGGCUGUUUGUGGUGAACUUUGUUUGCGUCUGUCAAUUAAGACUCCACGAGUGUUUGAAAGUGUUUAAUCUCCAGCUCCACGGCCAGUGAGGAUGAAGAAGAUGUCUUGUGUCCAAAGGAUCCUAAAGGUAGUUGGCGCGGUCAACGUCAAACCACAAGAAGCCAGCUGACCUAUGAUGUGCACAAUUGAACAAUAAACGGCCUAAGAAAUCUCACCUCGUAUCUCGUGCUUUUCUAUGCUGUGAAGAUUUGGCCACGGGCCUUUCCUGUUGAGAGCUGGCUGAAGGAUGAACAUUUUCAGUGUGUCUGCUGAUCCGACCUGUGUGCUGACUUGUGCAAUGCAAAUAUUUCCCCUUCAGUUUGACCAGUGGUGAAAGAAUGUGUAACACAUGGUUCCUAAUCUUCAGUUGACAAUUGUUAAUGCACUUUUUUUUUUGAAGAAGAAGAA